GACGGAGGGUGCUAGCGUUUUUCGGAAUCACUGGGCGUAAAGGGCGCGUAGGCGGCCUGGAAAGUCAGAUGUGAAAGCCCGGGGCUCAACCCCGGAAUUGCAUUUGAGACUCCCUGGCUGGAGGUCGAGAGAGGAGAGUGGAAUACCCAGUGUAGAGGUGAAAUUCGUAGAUAUUGGGUGGAACACCAGUGGCGAAAGCGGCUCUCUGGCUCGAACCUGACGCUGAGGCACGAAAGCGUGGGGAGCAAACAGG
This 253-nucleotide ribosomal RNA is filed under the name uncultured bacterium. RNAcentral describes it as "partial 16S ribosomal RNA". It matches the Rfam family "Bacterial small subunit ribosomal RNA", at positions 524 to 776 of the family's 1533-position model. The record is from RNAcentral.